CGCGUAGGUGGUCCAGUCAGUUGGGUGUGAAAGCCCCCGGCCCAACCGGGGAAUUGCACUCAAUACUGCUGGACUCGAGAGCAGGAGGGGUGAAUGGAACUCCAGGUGGAACGGUGAAAUGUGUAGAUAUCUGGAGGAACACCGGUGGCGAAAGCGGUUCACUGGCCUGCUACUGACACUGAGGCGCGAAAGCCAGGGGAGCGAACG
RNAcentral lists this ribosomal RNA (207 nucleotides) under uncultured bacterium. RNAcentral's name for it is "partial 16S ribosomal RNA". It matches the Rfam family "Bacterial small subunit ribosomal RNA", at positions 568 to 774 of the family's 1533-position model. The record is from RNAcentral.